This is a long non-coding RNA of Bombyx mori (domestic silkworm), 4870 nucleotides long. RefSeq lists it as uncharacterized. The record is from RefSeq and is a predicted model, not a curated record. The transcript is spliced from 3 exons. Lineage: Eukaryota; Metazoa; Arthropoda; Insecta; Lepidoptera; Bombycidae.
UUACCUAUGUGGUUGAAUGAGGUUUUGUUAUUUUUAUAUUCCCUCAUCGUUCACAGCGCUACAUGCCUCUUUCACUCAUUUACCACAUCCUUACAGACUUACAAUAAGUUAGUUUUUUUUGUUUACACUAGAAAUUCCCUAGAAAUUUUAUAUAUGGCAAAAGAACGUUUGCGGGGUCAGCUAGCAGUAUUAUAAACAUUUAUAUAGAAUUAAUGCUUAUGGCAACAAAAAUGAACAAAACUUUCGUGUCAACAAUCAGUUAUACAAAAUUCAUUGUCAACAACCUCAUUGGACCGCUGACCGGUAGCUCUAUGACCCUUCAAAUGGGCGACAAAUUUUUAAUCGGGUCGUCUUAAUAUUUAUAUCUGCUUCCAUUCUAUUCGAAUCGUGUUGCUUGAUCUUAAAAAAAUACAAGUAAUUUUGGAUUUGAAGUCCUCCACUGAACUCACCAGACCUUGUACCUUCCUUAUCGAUAAUUUCAAGCACCCAUCUUUUUCAUUAUCUUCCUACAAUGGUCACUAAAAUGCAAUUGUGAAUUUGCUUUCCUCUCUCAAGAUGGACGGCAGCAAUUUUGUUUGAUACCCUGUCUUCUGUGUCUCUUAAGUCGAGGUGGACUAUGAUCUCGUACUUUUAUGUAGAGGAAUGAAUAAAAAAAAAUAGAAUAGUAUCGAUUCACAAUGUGCCCCAUCACUAGUAAUAACGUGAUCACUCUAAAGUAUUACAGCUGAAGUAAUUUUUAUCAACUCGUACUGUACAUACUUGCGUAUUUUUGCUUCAAGUUAACAGAGAUCACGGCAAAGCUGCUCGCUCGUACGGAGCGCGUCUCGACGUUGACAAAUUGCCCUCUCCUGAACACCAGGGGAAAUUAUUUAAAGCACUCACAAUCCCUGCGGAUACAAUGUUCAUAUAAUUUUAUAAGCUAAACAUUUCCGCUAAAGUUUACAAACUCAUAAUCGUUAUUGAUGUUAACAAAUUGCUGUAUCGACCGAAUCGUCUGGUCAAGUUGUGGGCUUGUCGCUAUUUCGUCAAGCUACCUAGUCAUCCUAGUCUUCGUUCUAGUCAUUUUAUCAAAACAUUUGGGCUGCCACUGAACAGCUGUUUGACUGAUUGGUCGAAAUCCAGAAACAAUUAAGAACUCAAACGUGCCGCACUAAUAUUACGAGAUAAGGAAGGGGAUGCGAAACCGCCAUACCAUGAUAAUUUUUUGGGGCCGGUGACCGAGUCUUUACUCGAGGUCCCUCACGCGUUUGUGUAUGGGGCUGUCGUAGUCAACAAUGAGUCCUCUCAUUCAAUCAUCCUUUUAACAGACUGCAUUACAUAAUUUAAACAAGCAUAUCCCGUGAAAGUCACACGCAUAUUCGCAAAUAGCUUUCAUGGGAAAACAAUAACAUGUAAUAAGAUUAUUAAACCUUAAUUUAUGCUUGAAAGUUUUAUUUUUGCGUGAUUUGUUACACUAGGAUGUCUUGUGAGUCCACACGAAUAACUAUCACUGGCCUGCCUAUUUCUAAUGUGAAGAGGUAAUGCGUUCCGGUUUGAAGCCGGAAAUUGAAGCCGAAAUUUAUAUUUAGACUACAUAUCUCGAGAUGGUGGGUUACCACCCAUGCCAUCGUCUUCACGUAGCGAUUGCUAUGGGUGGCUGUAACCCCUUAACACCAGAUGGGCCGUGAGCUCUUGAACUUUUCAAGCAAUAAAUUAAACAUAAUAAAAUGAUUACGAACGAGAAAAGACUUUGCUGAACCUAAUGAAAAUAAUGAAUCAAAAAAAUCGGCUAACAAUAAAUAAGCACCUAACAGUUCACAUCAUUUCACCGGUUGCUUUUGGCAGCUUCGUAUCUGAUAAAUGCAUGCACCAUUCUGUUUAACAUUCGAAAUCUUUCACAAAUCCAAUUCACUAACUUUUCGUCGCUUUUGAGAGAAAAAAUGCCCUUUUUCUAUGAACUUGACAUGGCUUAAGCGUUAGAUGAACUUAUAUCUAAUGACUACACUGAUGUUCGAUAUUUUUUUGUCACUGUCAUUAUUUUGGUGUACCUAAAUGCAAUAAAGUGUUUUUGUAUUAUAUUGUAUUGUGUUGGGCUGUGGGAUGGUGUUAAUGAUAGUAAAUUUAAAUGAGGUUUUUACCCGUUUUUAGAGAGAGAGAGAGAGAGAGAGAGAGAGAGCGGUUCUAAGACAGAUAGUGUAGUCUAGUAACUAACUUAAUUUGUCACUGGAUUUCUCCUGAACGAUUUUGAUGAAAACAUUUGUGUGUGUUUGAUCAGGUAAGUGGCACUGUAAUCGUAACUAUAAGGACUAUAUUUGCCGUAUUCACUAGUCUAAUAAGUAAAUAAAUGCGAAUCUGUGUACCUCUUUAUUUGUUCAUGAUAUAUUCAUUCAAUCAUUACGUAUUUGAUUGGUUUGGAACUUGAUAUCGCUAUUGUUGGCACUUCAGACAAGGCCAUAGUCAAAGUAUCAUUAAUAUAUGAUUCAUUUCGCGAAAGUGGUAAGAUCAGACAGUGACAAUCAUAGUUGAGUACGGUCGUAUUGUAAAGGACUUUAAUUAUAUAAACACUGUGUGAAUUUACUGAUAAUAACGAUGAUGUUUUCAUAAAUUAAAAAUUGCGUUUACCGCUGCGUAAAAAGAAGAAGAAAAAGACAGUUAUUUUGUUCGGAUGAUAAUUUCACAUCAGAAUAGGGAAUUUUACUGGUGGUAGGACCUCUUGUGAGUCCGCACGGGUAGGUACCACCACCCUGCCUAUUUCUGCAGUGAAGCAGUAAUGCGUUUCGGUUUGAAGGGUGAGACAAUCGUUAUAACUAUACUGAGAUAUUAGAACUUAUAUCUCAAGGUAGGUGGCGCAUUUACGUUGUAGAUGUCUAUGGGUUUUAGUAACCACCUAAUACCAGGUGGGCUGUGAGCUCGUCCACCAAUCUAAGCAAUAAAUAAAAAAAUUAGGAAAGAAAUUUAAAAAAUCUGUGUAAUCCUAUGCAACUAUUCUUGUGGCGAAAAAAAUAUCUUAUUGUAUCUUUCAAAACGGCGGGCGGAUUCAAGGCCCUUCCUCUAAGUCACGUCCACUUCAAAAGCAUACCGAGAAUCCUUUAAGCUAUAAACAAAAGUCAGUUGGUCUUUAAGUAAAAGAACGUGUUCCUGACUACCCAGUAUAGCUUAUGCGAAGAUUAUUCGGACGGGCCCAGCAUAAAUAUUAGGUUAUUUCGUAAACCGUCUUCGUAUAAAGGCAAUAUUUUUUAUUUACUUAAUAUUCACGUCAAAAAUUUUAGGCACACGAAUUUUGGUAUUAUUUAUGACGUUUAGGUCAGACAAUUUGACGUUCCGUUCUCUGAAUGACCAAACUUGUGUACACAUAGCUAUGAUGUUUCACUAAGAAAACGUAUAUAGUACAGGGCAAAGGCCGCGAUCUCUCUAUCCGAUGAUCUGCAAGCGUAGUAAAUUGUUCCUUCGUACUAAGGUAACUCACUAUAAAACAUGCGUACGUCCGGUCAUAACCUAUGCAAGUGUAGUGGUUUGCUCCAACAGCCCGCACUCAUGUAAACACCUUACAAAUUAUUCAAUGCCGUUUUUGAAGGAUAGCCAUCCGAGCACUGUAGUGCGGGAACGUAGAUUUACAGGACCAUUUCGAAUUAGAACUCAUAAGUAAGUGUAUGAAGUCAGCGUCGGAGCGCUACUUCAAAUAAACGGCGCAACACUAACCCUCUUAUUGUGGACAUCGAUAACUACAUUUUUUUUUUUUGUCAGGAGGAAAUCGCCGGUCUCUCACCCUCCACUCGGGAUGGUGGGCGGGGUAUGUCUGAGUCGAACCGACUAAAACCUCCUGUCGCUCAACAACCCACGUCCGAGCCUCGCAUGAUACAGAACUCAUGAAAAGGCAAAGGGGGGAGAGUGCAGCGUUUAGUGCGGGGCACAUCUCUCCCAUCAUCCUCCCCCUCGAUAGCUAUAUACCCGAUCUUACUGAUCAAACGGUAAGCCGCCGCCGUCACCUAAAACACGUCACUUCGGAUCCUUUCGAUCCACUAUCGGUGUUUUAGACAUUCCAAACACCGGUUACCGUUCUGGUUAGCCCGUCGAAUGCGAUGAAGGAUUCGUCAUGAAAAUUAUCCCACAGAAACAGCCCACUGAUUUUCUUGCCGGAUCUUCUCGGUGGGUCGCGAUUCCGAUCCGGUGGUAGAUUCAGCGAAAUACUGCCCUUAUUAGGGCUGGUGUUAGCAAAUCCGACAGGCUGAGUCUCGUGAUCUCGCCUACACGUCGCAUAGCCCCUCGAGGUUAUUAGCAUAAGGAGACAAUAAAAAAAGACUCCAAAUGAUUGUAUUUGAUCUUCACGUUGCUCAGUCAUUAAGACAGAAAUGAAGGUGUUAAAUUUUCAGGCUUUUACUGCCUUAAUUUUAUUAUUCCUUACGUUUUGAAUACUUAAGUUUUCUGGGUCAUGUACGACGAAGUACCCUGACUCAUGAAAACUGAAGAAAAUUCAAUAAAUCUCUAACAUACUAAAUACUAGGAAAAUGGAACUGGCUGCAGCAAUCGCCGCCAACGUGGGACUCUAGUGACGUCACCACACCAUCGACAUUGGCUAUGGAUGGAGAUGGAGAUGUUUGUCAUUUUGGAUUUUAGAAUGUUAAAGUAAAGUAAUUGACAAAUUGUAUUCCGCUGUCCAGUUUAUUCUUAUCACAAUGAUGCAGCAAUAAACUUACUUCGAGGAAAACGCAAAUUAACAUAAUACAUGUUAAAAAGAAUCGUGUUUCGUGCUGGAGUUUCUUUUGUCGCCACCCUAUUUCGGAGAAUUCAUCACUUAAUGUUAAAUACUAUGGAGAAUAAUUUGGUGAUGUUUUUCAAAAUGAAAUAUUUUUCACUCAUUUUUGUUAAAGAAAGUCUUUUGUAUUAUACAGUA